RNAcentral lists this ribosomal RNA (253 nucleotides) under uncultured bacterium. RNAcentral's name for it is "partial 16S ribosomal RNA". It matches the Rfam family "Bacterial small subunit ribosomal RNA", at positions 524 to 776 of the family's 1533-position model. The record is from RNAcentral.
UACGUAGGGGGCUAGCGUUGUCCGGAAUCAUUGGGCGUAAAGCGCGUGUAGGCGGUCCGGUAAGUCCGCUGUGAAAGUCGGGGGCUCAACCCUCGAAUGCCGGUGGAUACUGUCGGGCUAGAGUGCGGAAGAGGCGAGUGGAAUUCCUGGUGUAGCGGUGAAAUGCGCAGAUAUCAGGAGGAACACCAACGGCGAAAGCACUCUGCUGGGCCGACACUGACACUGAGAGACGAAAGCUAGGGGAGCAAAUGGG